CAAAACUUGGUCUGAGUCAAGAUCAUUGUGUGAGUAUGUGUGCGAGAGUGUGUGAGUGUGUGUAGUGUGUGUGGAUGCUAUGUACCUCACAUUUGGCAGAUUGUGACAACAGCUAGUAGGAAGGAAGAGAUGCGAAGCCAACAAGAGGCCAUGGAGCAUUUCCAUCUGGGUGCUUACGGGACAUCAACAAAGCCUGUUGUAAUAACAGUGAGCACUACAGCAGGAAGCAGCUCAGGAACCGAAGGCUCAGAGGGUUGACUCCAUUAAAUCACAGACAAUGGUAACCACAGGAGGAGGAAGAGUGUACAGGUGCCUGCAAUUGUUUUCGUGUUGACUGCAUGAGGGAGAGCUUACUGCUAUCAUAUAUGCUCCGAUGAGGGCUUCAUGCUGAACCAUAGGUUUGUUAGUCUAUUAGCUGUAAGUCAAAUUCACCAAAAUCAUCAAGACAUGAGAUGAUUCUUCGCUUUUUUUCACCACUGGAGUGCCACUUUUUUUCGGGAAACAAGCGCACUGCAUUCCCAUUUUGGAGUUCACUUACCAAUGUUUCACAUUUACAUUGGUAAUGUUUACCAGCAGUGAUCAAGCCUGGACCAGCAGUUAACAUCUCAGGGUCUUUCCAAGCCACAUUGAGCAAUCAACACUUUCCUCUGUCCAGCGGCCCUUCCGUCCGUCCCUCUGUCCCCUCAUCCCUCUUCCAGUCUUGUUUUGGCCAAAGCAACAGCACAAUAACAUAAAUCACAGGUCUGUUUGUAGCCAGAAUGAGAAAACCAAGCCUGAAGCUACAAGAGCAUCUGUUCUUCCCUCUAAAGCACACAAAUAUACACAGACAUGCACGCAAACAAACACAAGUCUGAGAACAGCCUUGAGCUGUCAGCACAGGGGCCUGAAUCCUGCAACAGGUUAUUUUUAUAUAUAUUGACAGGCUGGGAGGGAUUGACCUGAGGUGUUGUGUGGUCCAGAUGGGAGAGGGAGGAAAAGGCAGAUGGAGAGGAGGAAGCAAAAUAUGACCAAGAACAGGAAAAGAAAGAUGCUGGCGGUGGUGUCAGAGAGGAGGAUGCUAGCCAAACUACAUACCAUCUUGGAAAGUGUCUCCCACCCACUCCAUGACGUGCUGGUCAAACAAAGGAGUACCUUCAGCGGAAGACUCAUCCCCCCAAAAUGCACCACAGAGCGCCACAGGAAGUCAUUCCUGCCUGUGGCCAUCAAACUCUUUAACUCCUCCCUCUAAGUGUAGUCUGUAUGACCCUAAGUCAUUAAAUGGGACAUUGAUCAUGUCAUCUAUGCAGUACUUGACAUAAUUGUGCAAUAGUUCCUGUGUUAAUACCCCUGGGCAAUAUACUUAAAUUCCCUAUUUAUUGAUAUUUAUUCAUACCUCUAUUACUGCUGUGCAAUAUCCUCUGUCUCAUUAUA
This is a long non-coding RNA of Siniperca chuatsi (mandarin fish), 1410 nucleotides long. RefSeq lists it as uncharacterized. Lineage: Eukaryota; Metazoa; Chordata; Actinopteri; Centrarchiformes; Sinipercidae. The record is from RefSeq and is a predicted model, not a curated record. The transcript is spliced from 3 exons.